Molecule: ribosomal RNA, 492 nt
Filed under: uncultured bacterium
Lineage: Bacteria
Description: partial 16S ribosomal RNA
Rfam family: Bacterial small subunit ribosomal RNA
Source: RNAcentral
AGUGAACGCUGGCGGUAGGCCUAACACAUGCAAGUCGAACGGCAGCACAGUAAGAUCUUGCUCUUACGGGUGGCGAGUGGCGGACGGGUGAGGAAUACAUCGGAAUCUACUUUUUCGUGGGGGAUAACGUAGGGAAACUUACGCUAAUACCGCAUACGACCUACGGGUGAAAGCAGGGGAUCUUCGGACCUUGCGCGAUUGAAUGAGCCGAUGUCGGAUUAGCUAGUUGGCGGGGUAAAGGCCCACCAAGGCGACGAUCCGUAGCUGGUCUGAGAGGAUGAUCAGCCACACUGGAACUGAGACACGGUCCCGACUCCUACGGGAGGCAGCAGUGGGGAAUAUUGGACAAUGGGCGCAAGCCUGAUCCAGCCAUACCGCGUGGGUGAAGAAGGCCUUCGGGUUGUAAAGCCCUUUUGUUGGGAAAGAAAAGCAGCAGGUUAAUACCCCGCUGUUCUGACGGUACCCAAAGAAUAAGCACCGGCUAACUUCGUG